This 489-nucleotide ribosomal RNA is filed under the name uncultured bacterium. RNAcentral describes it as "bacterial SSU rRNA". It matches the Rfam family "Bacterial small subunit ribosomal RNA", at positions 30 to 519 of the family's 1533-position model. The record is from RNAcentral.
UGAACGCUGGCGGCACGCCUUACACAUGCAAGUCGAACGGCAGCGCGGACUUCGGUCUGGCGGCGAGUGGCGAACGGGUGAGUAAUACAUCGGAACGUACCCUGUUGUGGGGGAUAACUAGUCGAAAGAUUAGCUAAUACCGCAUACGACCUGAGGGUGAAAGUGGGGGACCGCAAGGCCUCACGCAGCAGGAGCGGCCGAUGUCUGAUUAGCUAGUUGGUGGGGUAAAGGCCCACCAAGGCGACGAUCAGUAGCUGGUCUGAGAGGACGAUCAGCCACACUGGGACUGAGACACGGCCCAGACUCCUACGGGAGGCAGCAGUGGGGAAUUUUGGACAAUGGGGGCAACCCUGAUCCAGCAAUGCCGCGUGUGUGAAGAAGGCCUCGGUUGUAAAGCACUUUGUCCGGAAGAAUCCAGCCGGCUAAUACCUGGUUGGGAGUGACGGUACCAAACGAAUAAGCACCGGCUAACUCGUGCCAGCAGCCGCG